AUAGCCCACACCACCCGGAACAUGCCCAAUCUUGUCUGAUCUUGAAAGCAAAGCGGGGUCGGGCCUGGUGAGUACUGAGUAUAUGAGAGAAUAGUGACUAUU
RNAcentral lists this ribosomal RNA (102 nucleotides) under Peromyscus maniculatus bairdii (prairie deer mouse). Lineage: Eukaryota; Metazoa; Chordata; Mammalia; Rodentia; Cricetidae. The record is from RNAcentral.